Molecule: ribosomal RNA, 247 nt
Filed under: uncultured Eubacteriales bacterium
Lineage: Bacteria; Bacillati; Bacillota; Clostridia; Eubacteriales
Description: uncultured Clostridiales bacterium partial 16S ribosomal RNA
Rfam family: Bacterial small subunit ribosomal RNA
Source: RNAcentral
GCGGAUUAGCGGCGGACGGGUGAGUAACACGUGAGUAACCUGCCUUAGACAUUGGGAUAGCCUCGGGAAACCGGGAUUAAUACCAAAUAAAAUCAUAAUGACACAUGUCAUAACGAUCAAAACUCCGGUGGUCUAAGAUGGACUCGCGUCCCAUUAGCUAGUUGGUAGAGUAAAAGCCUACCAAGGCGACGAUGGGUAGCCGGCCUGAGAGGGUGAACGGCCACAUCGGAACUGAGAAACGGUCCAA